AGAUGGGCGGAUAUGUGCAGCAGAUCGUGACUCAGGAACAGCCUCCCAGUGCUGACGAUCUGAAACGCGCGUACAGAAUCCUCAUCCAAGACGAAACCAACACAAUGUCCUUCAGGUACUGGGCAAACGAACCUAUGCCGGUGACCAUGGCCAACCGAUAUGUCUGCAUCUCUCAUGUACCCGGGUUCUGGGAUCACGUUAUUGUGGGAACCCAUGUGCCA
Long non-coding RNA from Sander lucioperca (pikeperch), 221 nucleotides. RefSeq lists it as uncharacterized. Lineage: Eukaryota; Metazoa; Chordata; Actinopteri; Perciformes; Percidae. The transcript has 2 exons. The record is from RefSeq and is a predicted model, not a curated record.